GCGCUGGUGGUGUAAGGCGUAGCGUCGCUACCCGGAAAGCAGAAGGUGCGGGUUUGAGUCCCGCCUUGCGCA
Molecule: non-coding RNA, 72 nt
Organism: Heligmosomoides polygyrus
Lineage: Eukaryota; Metazoa; Nematoda; Chromadorea; Rhabditida; Heligmosomidae
Source: Rfam